This 143-nucleotide microRNA precursor is filed under the name Schistosoma mansoni. RNAcentral describes it as "microRNA sma-mir-755 precursor". Its record names the gene sma-mir-755. Lineage: Eukaryota; Metazoa; Platyhelminthes; Trematoda; Strigeidida; Schistosomatidae. The record is from miRBase by way of RNAcentral.
GUUUUGUGUGGUAUGUACAGUUGGAGUUUUUGUUUCUGCACCAACAAUAUAUCCCUUUAUUGAAGCUACCCUUCGUAAGAGAGAAUUUUGUAAUAUUAAUGAUGGUGAGAUUCAACUACUUCAACUGUUAUACCAUUCGUGAU